Molecule: ribosomal RNA, 279 nt
Filed under: uncultured bacterium
Lineage: Bacteria
Description: partial 16S ribosomal RNA
Rfam family: Bacterial small subunit ribosomal RNA
Source: RNAcentral
UGCCAGCCGCUGCGGUAAUACUGAAGGUGUAAGCGUUAAUCGGAAUCACUGGGCGCAAAGCGCGCGUAGGCGCACUAGUCAGUCAGAGGUGAAAUCCCAGGGCUCAACCCUGGAACUGCCUUUGAUACUGCUAGUCUUGAGUUCGAGAGAGGUAAGUGGAAUUUCGAGUGUAGAGGUGAAAUUCGUAGAUAUUCGGAGGAACACCAGUGGCGAAGGCGACUUACUGGCUCGAUACUGACGCUGAGGUGCGGAAGUGUGGGGAGCAAACAGGAUUAGAUA